This is a non-coding RNA of Schistosoma mattheei, 78 nucleotides long. NCBI's taxonomy places the organism in Eukaryota, Metazoa, Platyhelminthes, Trematoda, Strigeidida, Schistosomatidae. The record is from Rfam.
AGCUUUCUGAAUCCAUGCAGAGAUUUCUUCAAACACUAACCCAUUAGGGCUGAUCAGACUUCCAAGUUAAGUGAAGUU